GGGUUGUGAGGUUAAGCGACUAAGCGUACACGGUGGAUGCCCUGGCAGUCAGAGGCGAUGAAGGACGUGCUAAUCUGCGAAAAGCGUCGGUAAGGUGAUAUGAACCGUUAUAACCGGCGAUGUCCGAAUGGGGAAACCCAGUGCAAUUCGUUGCACUAUCGUUAACUGAAUACAUAGGUUAACGAGGCGAACCGGGGGAACUGAAACAUCUAAGUACCCCGAGGAAAAGAAAUCAACCGAGAUUCCCCCAGUAGCGGCGAGCGAACGGGGAGCAGCCCAGAGUCUGAAUCAGCUUGUGUGUUAGUGGAACGGUCUGGAAAGUCCGACGGUACAGGGUGAUAGUCCCGUACACCAAAAUGCACAGGCUGUGAACUCGAAGAGUAGGGCGGGACACGUGGUAUCCUGUCUGAAUAUGUGUGGACUGUACUGCAAGGCUAAAUAGGCCUGACUGACCGAUAGUGAAGCAGUAGCGUGAGGGAAAGGCGAAAAGAACCCCGGCGAGGGGAGUGAAAAAGAACCUGAAACCGUGUACGUACAAGCAGUGGGAGCACCUUCGGGUGUGACUGCGUACCUUUUGUAUAAUGGGUCAGCGACUUAUAUUCUGUAGCAAGGUUAACCGUAUAGGGGAGCCGCAGGGAAACCGAGUCUUAACUGGGCGUUAAGUUGCAGGGUAUAGACCCGAAACCCGGUGAUCUAGCCAUGGGCAGGUUGAAGGUUGGGUAACACUAACUGGAGGACCGAACCGACUAAUGUUGAAAAAUUAGCGGAUGACUUGUGGCUGGGGGUGAAAGGCCAAUCAAACCGGGAGAUAGCUGGUUCUCCCCGAAAGCUAUUUAGGUAGCGCCUCGUGAACUCAUCUUCGGGGGUAGAGCACUGUUUCGGCUAGGGGGUCAUCCCGACUUACCAACCCGAUGCAAACUACGAAUACCGAAGAAUGUUAUCACGGGAGACACACGGCGGGUGCUAACGUCCGUCGUGAAGAGGGAAACAACCCAGACCGCCAGCUAAGGUCCCAAAGUCAUGGUUAAGUGGGAAACGAUGUGGGAAGGCACAGACAGCCAGGAUGUUGGCUUAGAAGCAGCCAUCAUUUAAAGAAAGCGUAAUAGCUCACUGGUCGAGUCGGCCUGCGCGGAAGAUGUAACGGGGCUAAACCAUGCACCGAAGCUGCGGCAGCGACACUAUGUGUUGUUGGGUAGGGGAGCGUUCUGUAAGCCUGCGAAGGUGUGCUGUGAGGCAUGCUGGAGGUAUCAGAAGUGCGAAUGCUGACAUAAGUAACGAUAAAGCGGGUGAAAAGCCCGCUCGCCGGAAGACCAAGGGUUCCUGUCCAACGUUAAUCGGGGCAGGGUGAGUCGACCCCUAAGGCGAGGCCGAAAGGCGUAGUCGAUGGGAAACAGGUUAAUAUUCCUGUACUUGGUGUUACUGCGAAGGGGGGACGGAGAAGGCUAUGUUAGCCGGGCGACGGUUGUCCCGGUUUAAGCAUGUAGGCUGAUUGUCCAGGCAAAUCCGGAUAAUCAAGGCUGAGGUGUGAUGACGAGGCACUACGGUGCUGAAGUAACAAAUGCCCUGCUUCCAGGAAAAGCCUCUAAGCAUCAGGUAACAUUAAAUCGUACCCCAAACCGACACAGGUGGUCAGGUAGAGAAUACCAAGGCGCUUGAGAGAACUCGGGUGAAGGAACUAGGCAAAAUGGUGCCGUAACUUCGGGAGAAGGCACGCUGGUGUGUAGGUGAAGCCCCUGCGGGUGGAGCUGAGACCAGUCGAAGAUACCAGCUGGCUGCAACUGUUUAUUAAAAACACAGCACUGUGCAAACACGAAAGUGGACGUAUACGGUGUGACGCCUGCCCGGUGCCGGAAGGUUAAUUGAUGGGGUUAUCCGUAAGGAGAAGCUCUUGAUCGAAGCCCCGGUAAACGGCGGCCGUAACUAUAACGGUCCUAAGGUAGCGAAAUUCCUUGUCGGGUAAGUUCCGACCUGCACGAAUGGCGUAAUGAUGGCCAGGCUGUCUCCACCCGAGACUCAGUGAAAUUGAACUCGCUGUGAAGAUGCAGUGUACCCGCGGCAAGACGGAAAGACCCCGUGAACCUUUACUAUAGCUUGACACUGAACAUUGAGCCUUGAUGUGUAGGAUAGGUGGGAGGCUUUGAAGCGUGGACGCCAGUCUGCGUGGAGCCAACCUUGAAAUACCACCCUUUAAUGUUUGAUGUUCUAACGUUGGCCCCUGACCGGGGUUGCGGACAGUGUCUGGUGGGUAGUUUGACUGGGGCGGUCUCCUCCCAAAGCGUAACGGAGGAGCACGAAGGUUAGCUAAUCCUGGUCGGACAUCAGGAGGUUAGUGCAAUGGCAUAAGCUAGCUUGACUGCGAGCGUGACGGCGCGAGCAGGUGCGAAAGCAGGUCAUAGUGAUCCGGUGGUUCUGAAUGGAAGGGCCAUCGCUCAACGGAUAAAAGGUACUCCGGGGAUAACAGGCUGAUACCGCCCAAGAGUUCAUAUCGACGGCGGUGUUUGGCACCUCGAUGUCGGCUCAACACAUCCUGGGGCUGAAGUAGGUCCCAAGGGUAUGGCUGUUCGCCAUUUAAAGUGGUACGCGAGCUGGGUUUAGAACGUCGUGAGACAGUUCGGUCCCUAUCUGCCGUGGGCGCUGGAGAAUUGAGGGGGGCUGCUCCUAGUACGAGAGGACCGGAGUGGACGCAUCACUGGUGUUCGGGUUGUCAUGCCAAUGGCACUGCCCGGUAGCUAAAUGCGGAAGAGAUAAGUGCUGAAAGCAUCUAAGCACGAAACUUGCCCCGAGAUGAGUUCUCCCUGAGACUUUAAGUCUCCUGAAGGAACGUUGAAGACGACGACGUUGAUAGGCCGGGUGUGUAAGCGCAGCGAUGCGUUGAGCUAACCGGUACUAAUGAACCGUGAGGCUUAACCUUACAACGCCGAAG
Molecule: ribosomal RNA, 2923 nt
Filed under: Klebsiella pneumoniae
Lineage: Bacteria; Pseudomonadati; Pseudomonadota; Gammaproteobacteria; Enterobacterales; Enterobacteriaceae
Description: 23S ribosomal RNA
Rfam family: Bacterial large subunit ribosomal RNA
Source: RNAcentral